Molecule: long non-coding RNA, 284 nt
Organism: Onychostoma macrolepis
Lineage: Eukaryota; Metazoa; Chordata; Actinopteri; Cypriniformes; Cyprinidae
Exons: 3
Source: RefSeq, a predicted model, not a curated record
GCUUAACAAGAUUUCUCCAGGUUCUCUAGUUCGCUCCAGUUUUUGCUGCCUGAGGCCUGCUGUACUUGUCGAAAUGAAAUGCUACAUUCCGUGUUGACACGCCGCUCACCUCCUCAAGCUCCAGAUUGAUUUAUCCUAAUGACUCCUGUUGAAGCAGGGCACUGAGCAAGCUUGAGCACCGUCAGGACAUUCCAGCAUCACCUGCCGUCUCAUGAGCAUGUAGAUGCACUUAACCCUCAGGUCUGAAAGGAGCUGCAUAUGUCUGCUUGACACUUCAAGCAAGC